GACGAACGCUGGCGGCGUGCCUAAUACAUGCAAGUCGAACGCACUCUCGUUUAGAUUGAAGGAGCUUGCUCCUGAUUGAUAAACAUUUGAGUGAGUGGCGGACGGGUGAGUAACACGUGGGUAACCUGCCCUAAAGUGGGGGAUAACAUUUGGAAACAGAUGCUAAUACCGCAUAAAACCUAACACCGCAUGGUGUAGGGUUGAAAGAUGGUUUCGGCUAUCACUUUAGGAUGGACCCGCGGUGCAUUAGUUAGUUGGUGAGGUAAAGGCUCACCAAGACCGUGAUGCAUAGCCGACCUGAGAGGGUAAUCGGCCACACUGGGACUGAGACACGGCCCAGACUCCUACGGGAGGCAGCAGUAGGGAAUCUUCCACAAUGGACGAAAGUCUGAUGGAGCAACGCCGCGUGAGUGAAGAAGGUUUCGGAUCGUAAACUCUGUUGUUGGAGAAGAAUGUAUCUGAUAGUAACUGAUCAGGUAGUGACGGUAUCC
This 491-nucleotide ribosomal RNA is filed under the name uncultured bacterium. RNAcentral describes it as "bacterial SSU rRNA". It matches the Rfam family "Bacterial small subunit ribosomal RNA", at positions 28 to 480 of the family's 1533-position model. The record is from RNAcentral.